GGACGAACGCUGGCGGUGCGCCUUAUGCAUGCAAGUUGAGCGAAGCUUUUUGGUAGUUUACUACUAGAAAUGACUGAGCGGCGAACGGGUGAGUAACGCGUGAGCAAUCUACCUUAGUUACUGGGAUAGCCCGAGGAAACUCGGAUUAAUACCGGAUAUUCUUAUUUUUUCACAUGAAGUUUUAAGGAAAGGUCAGCCGAACUAAGAUGAGCUCGCGCUCUAUCAGCUAGUUGGUGGGGUAAAAGCCUACCAAGGCUACGACGGAUAGCUGGUCUGAGAGGACGAUCAGCCACACUGGGACUGAGACACGGCCCAGACUCCUACGGGAGGCUGCAGCAGGGAAUAUUGUGCAAUGAGCGAAAGCUUGACACAGCGACACCGCGUGUGGGAUGACGGUUCUAGGAUUGUAAACCACUUUCAGGAGGGAAGAAAAUGACGGUACCUCCACAAGAAGACCCGGCCAACUAUGUGCC
This 473-nucleotide ribosomal RNA is filed under the name uncultured bacterium. RNAcentral's name for it is "bacterial SSU rRNA". It matches the Rfam family "Bacterial small subunit ribosomal RNA", at positions 27 to 509 of the family's 1533-position model. The record is from RNAcentral.